This 634-nucleotide long non-coding RNA is filed under the name Felis catus (domestic cat). Its description in RNAcentral is "lncRNA (ENSFCAG00000051887.1)". The record is from RNAcentral. Lineage: Eukaryota; Metazoa; Chordata; Mammalia; Carnivora; Felidae.
UGGAGACGAAGGCGCUGGAGGGAAUUUGGGUUUGUGCGUCUGGCUCAAACCCUGCGCGCCAAAGGGGGCCGUUUGGCACGGAGCCCGAGGUCUUUCUUUCUCGCACCCCUCACCUCGCGACCCUGCAGGAAUCCGCGGGCCCAGGAGCGGCCUGACUGACCCACCUGCCCCGGGCUGAGCUGUCGAGAAAGGCUUCAUGGAGGGGGCCAACCCGUCCCGGUCUUUAAAAUGAGCACAAUAAAAGGGGGGCAAAUCCUCCAACGCGAACCUGAUCGCUUGUCACAGAAGCAACUUGCCAUGAAAUCCGCUAAUGCGCCGCGACUCGCCCACCGGGAUAAAUACCCGCCGGCGUUGGUGUAACCAGCGCACGCCCAAUACACUCGUAUUCCUCGAAUGCGCUCACCGCCGGCCACACUUGGAGAAUCCAGUGCAGAGGUUUCCGAAACCCCAUUUUCCUGAUUGCAGCCCAGACUCUGGAAACCCACGAACCUUCGGGGGAAGGGAGCCUGUUCCGGGCCAAGCGGAGGGUCAGGCGCGAGCGCGGGCCAAGCAGAGGGUCAGGAGCGAGCGCGCACAUGCACACACACACGCGCGCGCGCACACACAUACGCACACGGAUGUAUACACGCACUAG